AGCCCAGACACGUUUCUUCACGGAGUCCAAGGAAAACACUUUACCGAACUCAUAUGGGAUGGCCCUGUAAGUUGUGCAGCACUGUUGUACCAACCAAGAGUGACAUUUUAAAGCAUUACAGACUGCACCAUGGGACCUUUGGACACAGCCAUUCCUUGCCUUGCAUUCAUAUUAAUGAAGCGUUCCGAAGGUGCACUGCUGUUCCACUGGAAUCAACAUUUAUGUCACAACUGGACAGGUACACUCCAAAACUCCUGGAGCUCUCCAGUGCAAAAGGAGGAGUGACUGCAGCGCAUCAAGAACUUGUUGAUGGAACUGAUACAGGACCCAAGUGCCUCUGCAGUGAAGAAGAGAGAUGUGACUGUGAGAUGCCUCAUAGAGUACAUGGGAGAGAGUGGACAGG
Molecule: long non-coding RNA, 403 nt
Organism: Nerophis lumbriciformis (worm pipefish)
Lineage: Eukaryota; Metazoa; Chordata; Actinopteri; Syngnathiformes; Syngnathidae
Source: RefSeq, a predicted model, not a curated record